This 444-nucleotide ribosomal RNA is filed under the name uncultured bacterium. RNAcentral describes it as "bacterial SSU rRNA". It matches the Rfam family "Bacterial small subunit ribosomal RNA", at positions 338 to 795 of the family's 1533-position model. The record is from RNAcentral.
CCUACGGGUGGCUGCAGUCGAGAAUCUUCCGCAAUGGACGAAAGUCUGACGGAGCGACGCCGCGUGGAUGAUGAAGUUCUUCGGAAUGUAAACUCCUUUUGCCAGGGAAAAAGUUUAUUGAUGGUACCUGGAGAAUAAGAGGUUGCUAAACUCGUGCCAGCAGCAGCGGUAAUACGAGUGCCUCAAGCGUUACCCGGAAUCACUGGGCGUAAAGGUUGUGUAGGUGGUUAUAUUAGUCUUUUGUUAAAGCCUGCGGCUUAACCGCAGAAAUGCAAAGGAAACGGUAUGACUAGAGGAUGCGAGGGGUCUGUGGAACUCAUAGUGUAGCGGUAAAAUGCGUUGAUAUUAUGGGGAACACCAAAAGCGAAGGCAGCAGACUGGCGCACUCCUGACACUGAAACAAGAAAGCGUGGGUAGCGAAUGGGAUUAGAUACCCCAGUAGUC